Long non-coding RNA from Fukomys damarensis (Damara mole-rat), 239 nucleotides. RefSeq lists it as uncharacterized. Lineage: Eukaryota; Metazoa; Chordata; Mammalia; Rodentia; Bathyergidae. The transcript is spliced from 3 exons. The record is from RefSeq and is a predicted model, not a curated record.
UUGUUGCUUUUGGCGCUUCUGCUGCCAUGAGCUGUGGUCCCUCUGCCACCCUGCCUUGGAGCCAGCCGAGCCGUGAACUGAUCUGAAUACUUGGGCAAAACCUGGUCCAGCAGUUCAGUGAUGCUGCAGUUCCCCCUCUCCUUCUGUGUCUUUCAACUCAGCCUUCUCCGGCAGCAGGUUGGGAAGUGAUCUGUGCCCCUUAACGUGGAAGAUUUCAAACGCUGGAUAUUUUGCACUUG